RNAcentral lists this ribosomal RNA (468 nucleotides) under uncultured bacterium. RNAcentral's name for it is "partial 16S ribosomal RNA". It matches the Rfam family "Bacterial small subunit ribosomal RNA", at positions 28 to 507 of the family's 1533-position model. The record is from RNAcentral.
GACGAACGCUGGCGGCGUGCUUAACACAUGCGAGUCGAACGGAAAGGCCCUGCUUUUGUGGGGUGCUCGAGUGGCGAACGGGUGAGUAACACGUGAGUAACCUGCCCUUGACUUUGGGAUAACUUCAGGAAACUGGGGCUAAUACCGGAUAGGAGCUCCUGCUGCAUGGUGGGGGUUGGAAAGUUUCGGCGGUUGGGGAUGGACUCGCGGCUUAUCAGCUUGUUGGUGGGGUAGUGGCUUACCAAGGCUUUGACGGGUAGCCGGCCUGAGAGGGUGACCGGCCACAUUGGGACUGCGAUACGGCCCAGACUCCUACGGGAGGCAGCAGUGGGGAAUCUUGCACAAUGGGCGGAAGCCUGAUGCAGCAACGCCGCGUGCGGGAUGACGGCCUUCGGGUUGUAAACCGCUUUCGCCUGUGACGAAGCGUGAGUGACGGUAAUGGGUAAAGAAGCACCGGCUAACUACGUG